This is a non-coding RNA of Paramuricea clavata, 360 nucleotides long. Lineage: Eukaryota; Metazoa; Cnidaria; Anthozoa; Malacalcyonacea; Plexauridae. The record is from the annotation of a GenBank genome assembly.
AUUUAUUUCGGACACGGAACAUGGCAACGCGAGGCAACAAACAUGUCGGCCGUUGUUUACAAAAUUUUAGCACUUCGAACGAGUUUUAAAACAAAAUGCUGAAGUCUGAAAGCUAUUUAGAAAGAGGAGACGCUCCAGCACAAGCCGUGCUUCGUGCGAAUGCCGAACAACUGGCCGUACGGAAGGCGAUUGAAACGCAAGAAGAGCUUCACAAAAUUCACGAGAGAGUGUGUAUUGUAAGUAUUGAACAAUUUUGUCUUAUUAAAUAUACACAUGUUUUAGUUCUUUGGGCAUUCUUAUUCUGACGACUAGUGAAAGAAAUAUGUGUUUAUUGAUGGGAUACAUAGCUGAUAGCUUGAC